CAGAUAUAGUUCAUUGGUAGAACGCCAGCUUCCCAAGCUGGAGAGGCGGGUCCGAUUCCCGUUAUCUG
RNAcentral lists this transfer RNA (68 nucleotides) under uncultured Muricomes sp. It matches the Rfam family "tRNA". From Rfam's summary of the family: Transfer RNA (tRNA) molecules are approximately 80 nucleotides in length. Their secondary structure includes four short double-helical elements and three loops (D, anti-codon, and T loops). Further hydrogen bonds mediate the characteristic L-shaped molecular structure. tRNAs have two regions of fundamental functional importance: the anti-codon, which is responsible for specific mRNA codon recognition, and the 3' end, to which the tRNAs corresponding amino acid is attached (by aminoacyl-tRNA synthetases). tRNAs cope with the degeneracy of the genetic code in two manners: having more than one tRNA (with a specific anti-codon) for a particular amino acid; and 'wobble' base-pairing, i.e. permitting non-standard base-pairing at the 3rd anti-codon position. The record is from RNAcentral. Lineage: Bacteria; Bacillati; Bacillota; Clostridia; Lachnospirales; Lachnospiraceae.